RNAcentral lists this ribosomal RNA (440 nucleotides) under uncultured bacterium. Its description in RNAcentral is "partial 16S ribosomal RNA". It matches the Rfam family "Bacterial small subunit ribosomal RNA", at positions 338 to 795 of the family's 1533-position model. The record is from RNAcentral.
CCUACGGGAGGCAGCAGUGGGGAAUAUUGCACAAUGGGGGAAACCCUGAUGCAGCGACGCCGCGUGAGUGCAGAAGUAUUUCGGUAUGUAAAGCUCUAUCAGCAGGGAAGAAAAUGACGGUACCUGAUUAAGAAGCCCCGGCUAACUACGUGCCAGCAGCCGCGGUCAUACGUAGGGGGCAAGCGUUAUCCGGAUUUACUGGGUGUAAAGGGAGCGUAGACGGCAGCACAAGUCUGGAGUGAAAUGCCGGGGCUUAACCCCGGAACUGCUUUGGAAACUGUGCAGCUAGAGUGCAGGAGAGGUAAGUGGAAUACCUAGUGUAGCGGUGAAAUGCGUAGAUAUUAGGAGGAACACCAGUGGCGAAGGCGGCUUACUGGACUGUAACUGACGUUGAGGCUCGAAAGCGUGGGGAGCAAACAGGAUUAGAUACCCCUGUAGUC